Molecule: non-coding RNA, 4860 nt
Organism: Xyrichtys novacula (pearly razorfish)
Lineage: Eukaryota; Metazoa; Chordata; Actinopteri; Labriformes; Labridae
Source: the annotation of a GenBank genome assembly
CGCGACCGCCUCCCCCACCCGAUCGCGUCACACUCAAGGUCCAAAGAUGGUGUGCGCACUUGUUUGUGGUCAAUUACCAUUAUAGUGAACGGGAGGCGCAGUUUCUACCAAAGCGCUCGCUGCAGAAAAACUCCAUGUCCUAUUUGAAAAAAGUCUGGACCAUGAGUGAGGGCACAAACACAGCUAAGAUAUAUCCAAAUGGCAAGUUGCUCCUCCUUUCGCUUUUGCCGAGAGAGCAGUGCGUUUGAGCCAUUGAAUGAUGAACAGGAAAAACUUGACUUUAUUCUCCUGCCAUGGGGGGGGCGCUCUUUUAACGAGAAAAAACUCCUUCACAAAUGUGUUGAUGGCUGGACAUUGCAUCAUCCUAGAAAACAUGGAGGCCAGUGAGGACAAAAAUAAAAAGUUAUAAGACUUUUAAAUAUGUGGAUUUUAGGGUUAUCUUUGGCGCCCCCUAGAACCUAAACCGUGGGGUGCAGCGUCAUGAUUUGAAUAACUUUUAAUGGCCAUGGGGUGUAGAUUGGCCUGAGCAAAUGUGGUGCCGGUGGAACGAAAGCCUUCGGAGGAGUUAGCGAAAUUCCAAUGUGUGCGAAUCUGCAAAAAAUGCGAAAUAACCCUUUAACCGUACAUUUUACAGAUACGUGGCCAUUGACUUUUUCGAAGAUCUUAUUGAAAUACACGUGUAUGUAAAAUUUUGUGUCAAUACGACAAAACAUACAGGCGUAGCACUCAACAAUGUGUAUUUUCACCUUAGUGGACAAGAAAAAAUGGACUUUUUUCUCCUGCCAUGGGGGGGCGCUCUUUUGGCGAGUAAAAAUUCCUUCACAAAUGUGUUGAUGGCUGGACAUUGCAUCAUCCUAGAAAACUUGGAGGCCAGUGAGGACAAAAAUAAAAAGUUAUAAGACUUUUAAAUAUGUGGAUCUUAGGGUUAUCUUUGGCGCCCCCUAGAACCUAAACCGUGGGGUGCAGCAUCAUGAUUUGAAUAACUUUUAAUGGCCAUGGGGUGUAGAUUGGCCUGAGCAAAUGUGGUGCCGGUGGAACGAAAGCCUUCGGAGGAGUUAGCGAAAUUCCAAUGUGUGCGGAUCGGCAAAAAAUGCGGAAUAACCCUUUAACCGUACAUUUGACAGAUACGCGCGCAUUGACUUUUUCGUAGAUCUUAUUGAGAUACAUGUGUGUGUCAAUUUUUGUGUCAUUUUGCCAAAGCGUACAGGUGUUACACUCAACAAUGUGUAUUUUCACCUUAGGGGACAAGAAAAAAUGGACUUUUUUCUCCUGCCAUGGGGGGCGCUCUUUUGGGGAGUAAAAAUUCCUUCACAAAUGUGUUGAUGGCUGGACAUUGCAUCAUCCUAGAAAACUUGGAGGCCAGUGAGGGCAAAAAUAAAAAGUUAUAAGACUUUUAAAUAUGUGGAUCUUAGGGUUAUCUUUGGCGCCCCCUAGAACCUAAACCGUGGGGUGCAGCGUCAUGAUUUGAAUAACUUUUAAUGGCCAUGGGGUGUAGAUUGGCCUGAGCAAAUGUGGUGCCGGUGGAACGAAAGCCUUCGGAGGAGUUAGCGAAAUUCCAAUGUGUGCGGAUCGGCAAAAAAUGCGAAAUAACCCUUUAACCGUACAUUUGACAGAUACGCCCGCACUGACUUUUUUGUAGAUCUUAUUGAGAUACAUGUGUGUGUCAAUUUUUGUGUCAUUUUGACAAAGCGUACAGGCGUGACAGUGAAUAGUGUGAAUUUUCACCUUAGGGGGCGCUAUGGAGCCAUUUUGCAUUUUCUUGUUUGGGCGACUUCGGAAUAUCAAAUUUUUCACCAGGCCCGGUCGUCCUGCCAAAUUUCAUGAGUUUUCGCCAGUGGGAAGUGGGCCAUUUUCCAGUUCAAAGGGGAGGAAAAAUAAUAAUAAUAACUAGGGCCCCGUUGGGGCACUGGCGGGCCCGAGCCGUGUCGCGCUGCCCCCCCCAACGCGCUGCCUCCCCGUCCCAUUUGCGUCCUCUGGCCAUCGUCCUCUCUGGUAACGCCCAUCACUGCAAAGACACUUUCCUUCAUCGGCGUUUGCUGUUCUUCCUGCCAGUGCGUGUUGCUUUCACUUACACUUGCCACAGCCAGCCUCGUGAGUGCCUAGCCUAUUGGAUAUCACUGUCAUCUACACAGGACAGUCAUAACCUUUCUAUUAAUACUUUGUUUUUUAAUUUCACAUUAAUUUCCAUAUUGUAUAAAUGACUGGAAAAAACUUGAGCCCCUGCCCCUGUAUAAUCAUGUGCACGUCCCUGUUCUAGCUCCAAGGUGAAUCUUCACUGCUCAUGUUCUCCUCAGAAAUAGUCACCUCACUCCCCUCAGGUUACUGUACACAUGCACCAACUAUCUGCUUCAGGUUUGGAUAGAGCUUCAUGGUUGUCUUUUGGGGAAAUGAACAGUCAAGUUGUGUUUGAAAUUUGAUUUUUUUCAGGGGCAAAAGGAAGCCUCUGCAUUCUUGUCAAAUAUGUAAACAGCAUGUUUUUGCAGGUGCUAAAAAACAGACUCUGAGUGUGUGUGUGUGUGUGUGUGUGUGUGUGUGUGUGUGUGUGUGUGUGUGUUGGCGUGUGUGUAUAUGUGUGUGUAUCCUGCAGUACUCUGUACUCCUGCAGUGGCCAAAAAGACUUUUAAGAAUGUGGAUUUUUGGGUCAUCUUUGGCGCCCCCUAGAACUGCAGUACUCUGUACUCCUGCAGUGGCCAAAAUGACUUUUAAGAAUGUGGAUUUUUGGGUCAUCUUUGGCGCCCCCUAGAACGUAAACCGUGGGGUGCAGCGUCAUGAUUUUUACAACUUUGAAUGGGCAUGGGGUGUAGAUUGCCCUGAGCAAAUUUGGUAUCAGUGGGACGAAAGCCUUAGGAGGAGAUAGCCACAUUCCAAUGUGUGCGAAUCGGCAAAAAAUGCGAAAUAGCCCUUUAACCGUACAUUAUACAGAUACGCGCUCUUUGACUUUUUCGUAGAUCUAAUUGAGAUACACAUGAUUGUCAAUUUUUGUGUCAAUAUGACAAAGCGUUCAGGCGUGACACUCAACAAUGUGUAUUUUCAUGUAAGGGGACAAGAAAAAAUUGACUUUUUUCUCCUGCCAUGGGGGGGCGCUCUUUUGGGGAGUAAAAAUUCCUUCACAAAUGUGUUGAUGGCUGGACAUUGCAUCAUCCUAGAAAACUUGGAGGGCAGUGAGGACAAAAAUAAAAAGUUAUAAGACUUUUAAAUAUGUGGAUUUUAGGGUUAUUUUUGGCGCCCCCUAGAACCUAAACCGUGGGGUGCAGCAUCAUGAUUUGAAUAACUUUUAAUGGCCAUGGGGUGUAGAUUGGCCUGAGCAAAUGUGGUGCCGGUGGAACGAAAGCCUUCGGAGGAGUUAGCGAAAUUGCAAUGUGUGCGGAUCGGCAAAAAAUGCGAAAUAACCCUUUAACCGUACAUUUGACAGAUACGCCCGCACUGACUUUUUUGUAGAUCUUAUUGAGAUACAUGUGUGUGUCAAUUUUUGUGUCAUUUUGACAAAGCGUACAGGCGUGACAGUCAAUAGUGUGAAUUUUCACCUUAGGGGGCGCUAUGGAGCCAUUUUGCAUUUUCUUGUUUGGGCGACUUCGGAAUAUCAAAUUUUUCACCAGGCCCGGUCGUCCUGCCAAAUUUCAUGAGUUUUCGCCAGUGGGAAGUGGGCCAUUUUCCAGUUCAAAGGGGAGGAAAAAUAAUAAUAAUAACAAACUAGGGCCCCGGUGGGGCACUGGCGGGCCCGAGCCGUGUCGCGCCGCCUCCAGCGCAACUGCCUACCCCUCCCGAUCGCGUCACACUCAAGGUCCAAAGAUGGUGUGCGCACUUGUCUGUGGUCAUUUACCAUUAUAAUGAAUGGGAGACGCAGUUUCUACCAAAACGCUCGCUGCAGAAAAACUCCAUGUCCUAUUUGAAAAAAGUCUGGACCAUGAGUGAGGGCACAAACACAGCUAAGAUAUAUCCGAAUGGCAAGUUGCUCCUCCUUUCGGUUUUGCCGAGAGAGCGAUGCGUUUGAGCCAUUGAGCGAUGGGCAGGAAAAACUUGACUUUUUCUCCUGCCAUGGGGGGGCGCUCUUUUGGGGAGUAAAAAUUCCUUCACAAAUGUGUUGAUGGCUGGACAUUGCAUCAUCCUAGAAAACUUGGAGGCCAGUGAGGACAAAAAUAAAAAGUUAUAAGACUUUUAAAUAUGUGGAUUUUAGGGUUAUCUUUGGCGCCCCCUAGAACCUAAACCGUGGGGUGCAGCGUCAUGAUUUUGAUAAAUUUUAAUGGCCAUGGGGUGUAGAUUGGCCUGAGCAAAUGUGGUGCCGGUGGAACGAAAGCCUUAGGAGGAGUUAGCCACAUUCCAAUGUGUGCGGAUCGGCAAAAAAUGCGGAAUAACCCUUUAACCGUACAUUUGACAGAUACGCGCGCAUUGACUUUUUCGUAGAUCUUAUUGAGUUACAUGUGUGUGUCAAUUUUUGUGUCAUUUUGACAAAGCGUAUAGGCGUGACACUCAACAAUGUGUAUUUUCACCUUAGGGGACAAGAAAAAAUUGACUUUUUUCUCCUGCCAUGGGGGGGCGCUCUUUUGGGGAGUAAAAAUUCCUUCACAAAUGUGUUGAUGGCUGGACAUUGCAUCAUCCUAGAAAACUUGGAGGCCAGUGAGGACAAAAAUAAAAAGUUAUAAGACUUUUAAAUAUGUGGAUUUUAGUGUUAUCUUUGGCGCCCCCUAGAACCUAAACCUUGGGGUGCAGCGUCAUGAUUUUGAUAACUUUUAAUGGCCACGGGGUGUAGAUUGGCCUGAGCAAAUGUGGUGCCGGUGGAACGAAAGCCUUCGGAGGAGUUAGCGAAAUUCCAAUGUGUGCGGAUCGGAAAAAAAUGCGAAAUAACCCUUUAACCGUACAUUU